GAUGAACGCUGGCGGCGUGCCUAAUACAUGCAAGUCGAGCGAACAGACGAGGAGCUUGCUCCUCUGACGUUAGCGGCGGACGGGUGAGUAACACGUGUAUAACCUACCUAUAAGACUGGGAUAACUUCGGGAAACCGGAGCUAAUACCGGAUAAUAUAUUGAACCGCAUGGUUCAAUAGUGAAAGACGGUUUUGCUGUCACUUAUAGAUGGAUCCGCGCCGCAUUAGCUAGUUGGUAAGGUAAAGGCUUACCAAGGCGACGAUGCGUAGCCGACCUGAGAGGGUGAUCGGCCACACUGGAACUGAGACACGGUCCAGACUCCUACGGGAGGCAGCAGUAGGGAAUCUUCCGCAAUGGGCGAAAGCCUGACGGAGCAACGCCGCGUGAGUGAUGAAGGUCUUCGGAUCGUAAAACUCUGUUAUUAGGGAAGAACAAAUGUGUAAGUAACUAUGCACGUCUUGACGGUACCUAAUCAGAAAGCCACGGCUAACUACGUG
RNAcentral lists this ribosomal RNA (497 nucleotides) under uncultured bacterium. Its description in RNAcentral is "partial 16S ribosomal RNA". It matches the Rfam family "Bacterial small subunit ribosomal RNA", at positions 28 to 507 of the family's 1533-position model. The record is from RNAcentral.